AGCGAACGCUGGCGGCAGGCUUAACACAUGCAAGUCGAGCGGGCCCUUCGGGGUCAGCGGCAGACGGGUGAGUAACACGUGGGAACGUACCCUUUGGUUCGGAAUAACGCUGGGAAACUAGCGCUAAUACCGGAUACGCCCUUUUGGGGAAAGGCUUGCUGCCGAAGGAUCGGCCCGCGUCUGAUUAGCUAGUUGGUGGGGUAAUGGCCUACCAAGGCGACGAUCAGUAGCUGGUCUGAGAGGAUGAUCAGCCACACUGGGACUGAGACACGGCCCAG
This 278-nucleotide ribosomal RNA is filed under the name uncultured bacterium. RNAcentral describes it as "partial 16S ribosomal RNA". It matches the Rfam family "Bacterial small subunit ribosomal RNA", at positions 29 to 334 of the family's 1533-position model. The record is from RNAcentral.